CUUUUCAUCAUCCCAAAUUUUUCUAUCCGCCACAUCACUGAUUCAUACACCCUAGUCUUCCAUCACAGUCUCUUAAUUUUUAAGUUUUUUUUUUCUUACUACUCCCUUCAUACUUAUUCUUUAAUUUCAUGGAAACACUAGAGUAGCUAUCUUAAACUAAGACUACAGACCAUUAAAAAGUCAGUUUCUCAGCCAGGCACG
This 201-nucleotide long non-coding RNA is filed under the name Homo sapiens (human). RNAcentral's name for it is "HSALNT0051876". Lineage: Eukaryota; Metazoa; Chordata; Mammalia; Primates; Hominidae. The record is from RNAcentral.